UACGUAGGUGGCAAGCGUUAUCCGGAUUUAUUGGGCGUAAAGGGAACGCAGGCGGUCUUCUAAGUCUGAUGUGAAAGCCUUCGGCUUAACCGGAGUAGUGCAUUGGAAACUGGGAGACUUGAGUGCAGGAGAGGAGAGUGGAACUCCAUGUGUAGCGGUGAAAUGCGUAGAUAUAUGGAAGAACACCAGUGGCGAAAGCGGCUCUCUGGUCUGUAACUGACGCUGAGGUUCGAAAGCGUGGGUAGCAAACAGG
Molecule: ribosomal RNA, 253 nt
Filed under: uncultured bacterium
Lineage: Bacteria
Description: partial 16S ribosomal RNA
Rfam family: Bacterial small subunit ribosomal RNA
Source: RNAcentral